ACUAUUGUUGCUUCACUUACAGUCAUGAACAUGAGCAGUGGAUCAUGUACAAUGAUACCACUGUGAAGGCGAUUGGUGGCUGGGACAACGUUUUUAUCAUGUGUAAGGAAGGGAAUAUGCAACCCCAGGUUCUUCUUUUCAAGGCUGUAAAUUAGCUAUGUAUAGUGAGACUCCCAAAUUCUCUCAAAAGCUUGAAGCUUGUUCACGUUGACAGCGUCACACUUUGGGUAGCCUUUUCUGUAAGGCUGGUUCUGUACACAAACACAAAUUAAAGGGUUUGGUUUGAGAUUGAGAAAUUGGAUUAUUGAAGUGCAACUCUGUUUUGGUGUAUUUAGGCUCCUGUAUUUUCAUCUAAUAAGGUGGUGCAGCCAGGGUUAACCCAUUUUUACAUGGCAUGUAUGCAUAAAGGAUGCUUAUCAUGGGUGGAACCAGUGUUUACAGUAUGUUGAUGAUGAAAACUGUAUCUUUCAAAUUGAAUUCUUGAAUGCAGGAUGUGCAAAAUAAACCACAUGAUUUGAGCAAUCUUCAUUUGUAUAAGAGCUGUUGUCCAUGUUGGCAAAGAAAAUAAAGAAAGCGAGAGAUUUGUAGGGA
Long non-coding RNA from Magnolia sinica, 591 nucleotides. RefSeq lists it as uncharacterized. The transcript is spliced from 2 exons. NCBI's taxonomy places the organism in Eukaryota, Viridiplantae, Streptophyta, Magnoliopsida, Magnoliales, Magnoliaceae. The record is from RefSeq and is a predicted model, not a curated record.